Molecule: transfer RNA, 65 nt
Filed under: Scotomedes sp. HL-2012
Lineage: Eukaryota; Metazoa; Arthropoda; Insecta; Hemiptera; Velocipedidae
Description: tRNA-Ile
Source: RNAcentral
AAUAAGGUGCCUGAUUAAAGGACUACUUUGAUAGAGUAGAUUAAGUAUAUAAUAUACCCUUAUUA